Molecule: long non-coding RNA, 765 nt
Filed under: Mytilus galloprovincialis (Mediterranean mussel)
Lineage: Eukaryota; Metazoa; Mollusca; Bivalvia; Mytilida; Mytilidae
Source: RNAcentral
AUUUACCAACAGAAGUAAUCAAAGCGCUGUAAGCGCUGAAGGCAGUUAACCAAAAACCAAGGCAACCGUAAUUAUGAAAACUGUGGCAAUGUUGCCUCAACAUUAAACAUUCAUAUAUAGUACAUUCAUGUUUAUCUAAUGAUUUAUUUAUUAAGGCAAAUAAUUUAUAUGUUAUCAAGGUUUCAAAAGCAAUGCAUAUAUCAAUGUAUAUUUUUUAUGGUGAGUCUGCAGUGGUACAAGUUCCCAAUGAUUGCAGUUGUUCUACUUGGUAGUUAACCUUGGUUUUAUUUGACUGCUAGAAGUUCAAUUUGACGUAGUAUGAACAUGUUAAUAGUAUGAAUGGACUGGUUUCCCUGGAAAGAAAACUGAGUUUGUGUUCUAUAGUACAAAAGUUAUGAGACACGAAUCAGACAAAUGUUCACUACAACAGGGAUCAAAGAUGAGGUCUGACUGACUUGCCCAUAGUAAAUGUAAAUGAUUUGUUAUUUUGUCCCAUACAUAUGAAUAUAUAUAAUUUAGGGGUGGGGAUCUCAACGGUUUUCAAGUUCUCAAACAGGUAGGGGUAGGCAGAGGAUUUAGGGGGCAGGGGGCCCGGCCCCCCCCCCUUUUUUGGAAAAAAUUUGGUUGCUUAUAUAGGGAAUCACUGGAGCGGGCCCCUCUUAGGUCAGUCAGUGGGCCCCACUUAUGAAAAUUUCUGGAUCCGCCACUGGGGGUAGGGUGACCCUAGGGACUUCCCCUACAUUUCAUUUUAUUUGUUAUAUUGUC